GUGCCAGCCGCCGCGGUAAUACCGGCGCCUCAAGUGGUAGUCGAUUUUAUUGGGCCUAAAACGUCCGUAGCCUGUUUGGUACAUUCGUGGGUAAAUCAACCAGCUUAACUGAUUGAAUUCUGCGAGCACGGCCAGACUUGGGACCGGGAGAGGUGUGGGGUACGCUCAGGGUAGGGGUAAAAUCCUGUCAUCCUGAGCGGACCACCUGUUGCGAAGGCGCCACACUAGAACGGAUCCGACGGUCAGGGACGAAGCCUAGGGGCACGAACCGGAUUAGAUACCCGGGUAGUCCUAGGUGUAACGCUGUGGACUUGGUGUUGGGGAUUCUCCGAGGAUCCUCAGUGCCGAAGCGAAGGUGAUAAGUCCACUGCCUGGGGAGUACGGUCGCAAGGCUGAAACUUAAAGGAAUUGGCGGGGGAGCACUGCAACCUGAGGAUUGUGCGGUUUAAUUGGAUUCAACGCCGGAAAACUCACCAGUGCCGACGGACAAAUGAAAGCCAGUUUGAUGAGCUUGCUGGAUUGUUCGAGAGGUAGUGCAUGGCCGUCGUCAGUUCGUACCGUAAGGCGUUCUGUUAAGUCAGAUAACGAACGAGACCCUCAUCCCUAUUUGCUAAGGUCAGUCCGCUGAUCACAGGACUAUAGGGAGACCGCUGGCGCGAAGUCGGAGGAAGGCGAGGGCAACGGUAGGUCAGUAUGCACCGAAUGCACUGGGCUACACGCGCAAUACAAAGGACGGGACAAUGGGCCGCUGCGCCGAGAGGCAUGUGGCUAUCUCGAAACCCGUUCGUAGUUCGGAUUGAGGGCUGUAACUCGCCCUCAUGAAGCUGGAUUAGGUAGUAAUCGCGUCUCAAAAAGGCGCGGUGAAUAUGCCCCUGCUCCUUGCACACACCCCCCGUC
Molecule: ribosomal RNA, 897 nt
Filed under: uncultured marine archaeon
Lineage: Archaea
Description: SSU rRNA
Rfam family: Archaeal small subunit ribosomal RNA
Source: RNAcentral